RNAcentral lists this transfer RNA (69 nucleotides) under Rhacophorus sp. RNAcentral's name for it is "tRNA-Arg". It matches the Rfam family "tRNA". Rfam says of the family: Transfer RNA (tRNA) molecules are approximately 80 nucleotides in length. Their secondary structure includes four short double-helical elements and three loops (D, anti-codon, and T loops). RNAcentral also lists the same sequence under 1 other name. The record is from RNAcentral. Lineage: Eukaryota; Metazoa; Chordata; Amphibia; Anura; Rhacophoridae.
GAGGUGUUAGUCCAAAAAAGAUAGCUGAUUUCGGCUCAGCUGAUUGUGGUUCAAGCCCACAGCCCCUCU